This 204-nucleotide unclassified non-coding RNA is filed under the name soil metagenome. Its description in RNAcentral is "partial contains 5.8S ribosomal RNA, internal transcribed spacer 2, and large subunit ribosomal RNA". The record is from RNAcentral.
AACCUUAUGGACCUGCGGGCGUAUACCUGCGGAAGGAUCAUUACCUAGAGUAUUGUAGGCUUUGUCCUGCUGUCUCUUACCCAUGUUUUUUGAGUACUUACGUUUCCUCGGCGGGUUCGCCCGCCGGCUGGACAAUUUAAACCCAUUGCAGUUGCAAUCAGCGUCUGAAAAACUUUAAUAGUUACAACUUUUAACAAUGGAUCU